This 98-nucleotide ribosomal RNA is filed under the name uncultured bacterium. RNAcentral describes it as "partial 16S ribosomal RNA". It matches the Rfam family "Bacterial small subunit ribosomal RNA", at positions 1386 to 1482 of the family's 1533-position model. The record is from RNAcentral.
CACACCGCCCGUCACAUCAUGAAAGCCGGUUGUACCCGAAGUCCACCCCGCUAACCGCAAGGGAGCAGUGGCCGAAGGUAUGGCUGGUGAUUGGGAUG